GAUGAACGCUGGCGUCGUGCCUAAUACAUGCAAGUCGAGCGAACAGAUGAGGAGCUUGCUCCUCUGACGUUAGCGACGAACGGGUGAGUAACACGUGGAGAACCUACCUAUAAGACUGGGAUAACUUCGGAAAACCGGAGCUAAUACCGGAUAAUAUAUUGAACCGCAUGGUUCAAUAGUGAAAGACGGUUUUGCUGUCACUUAUAGAUGGAUCCGCUCCGCAUUAGAUAGUUGGUAAGGUAACGGCUUACCAAGGCAACGAUUGUUAGCAGACCUGUAAGGGUGAUCAGCCACACGGGAACUGAGACAAGGUCCAGACUACUCCGGGAGGCAGCAGUAGGGAAUCUUCGACAAUGGGCGGAAGCCUGACGGAGCAACGCAGCGUGAGUGAUGAAGGUCUUCGGAUCGUAAACCUCUGUUAUUAGGGAAGAACAAGUGUGUAAGUAACUAUGCACGUCUUGAGGAUACAUAAUCAGAAAGCCACGGCUAACUACGUG
Molecule: ribosomal RNA, 497 nt
Filed under: uncultured bacterium
Lineage: Bacteria
Description: partial 16S ribosomal RNA
Rfam family: Bacterial small subunit ribosomal RNA
Source: RNAcentral